GGUAACGUCACAGCUGUUACGUAUUAAGCAACAACCUUUCUUCCCAAUUGAAAGUGCUUUACAACCCAAGGCCUUCUUCACACACGCGGCAUGGCUGCGUCAGGGUUUGCCCCCCAUUGCGCAAUAUUCCCCA
Molecule: ribosomal RNA, 133 nt
Filed under: uncultured bacterium
Lineage: Bacteria
Description: partial 16S ribosomal RNA
Source: RNAcentral